This is a non-coding RNA of Acyrthosiphon pisum (pea aphid), 98 nucleotides long. RefSeq annotates it as microRNA mir-14. Lineage: Eukaryota; Metazoa; Arthropoda; Insecta; Hemiptera; Aphididae. The transcript has a single exon. The record is from RefSeq and is marked provisional.
AUAAAUCGGAAGGGCAUGCGUCGGAGAGAGAUAACAGGCUUUGGCUUUUUAUGUAUUUUAUUAGUCAGUCUUUUUCUCUCUCCUAUUUACCCACCGAA